GACGAACGCUGGCGGCGUGCUUAACACAUGCAAGUCGAACGAAGUGGCGAACGGGUGAGUAACGCGUAAUCAACCUGCCGUUCAGAGGGAGAAAACAGUUGGAAACGACUGCUAAUACCGCAUAACGAAGGCGGGGAUUGCGACUGAUUAGCGAGUUGGAGGGGUAACGGCCCCCCAAGGCGAUGAUCAGUAGCCGGUAUGAGGGGAUGAACGGCCACAUUGGGACUGAGACACGGCCCAGACUCCUACGGGAGGCAGCAGUGGGGAUGCUUCCGCAAUGGACGAAAGUCUGACGGAGCAACGCCGCGGGAGUGAUGACGGCCUUCGGGUUGGAAAGCUCUGUUAAUCGGGACGCGGUACCGGAAUAGAAAGCCACGGCUAACUACGUGCCAGCAGCCGCGGUAAUAC
This 408-nucleotide ribosomal RNA is filed under the name uncultured bacterium. RNAcentral's name for it is "partial 16S ribosomal RNA". It matches the Rfam family "Bacterial small subunit ribosomal RNA", at positions 28 to 526 of the family's 1533-position model. The record is from RNAcentral.